GAGAGAGGUAAAUGAAGGGGGAAGAAAAAGAAGUGUAGCAAGGUACUUUGGAAGACCUGGAGCGCAAGGGAAAUAUAAAGAUAAAAACAAGGGAAAUUCAAGAAGCACGAAGAAGCUUACAAGCUUAGGUACUUGAAGAAGGAAUCGAGGACGUCGGGCCGAAUCUCGUAUAUAAUAAAAAGAAGGGGAAAGCACUCGCUGACAAUUGAAAAUAUCGGCAAAGAUUAACGGGAGCUGAGUGGGGAAGGAACCAGGCUAAAUAAGGAUCAAGGUAGUGUAAUAGAUCUAGAGCUAUGUAAAUCUAUGCAAGGAAAUUUUGUAUCAAGCACUUAAGUGUGUACUUAAAUCUAUUGGUAUUAUGGUGUAUGUUUGUGGAAUAAAAUACUUUUGUGUAUCGAAGUUAGAUAAUGGUAUUCCGAUAAUAAAGGCUUACGGUACGAUA
This is a long non-coding RNA of Tripterygium wilfordii, 442 nucleotides long. RefSeq lists it as uncharacterized. The record is from RefSeq and is a predicted model, not a curated record. The transcript is spliced from 3 exons. Lineage: Eukaryota; Viridiplantae; Streptophyta; Magnoliopsida; Celastrales; Celastraceae.